GGCUGCUCUGAAGGUAGUGAGUUAUCUCAAUUGAUUAUAGAUCAAACUCUUUGUUCUGCUCUUUCCCCUCUUCUCAUUACUGCACUUGAGUAGUCUUAA
This is a Y RNA of Callithrix jacchus (white-tufted-ear marmoset), 99 nucleotides long. It matches the Rfam family "Y RNA". From Rfam's summary of the family: Y RNAs are components of the Ro ribonucleoprotein particle (Ro RNP), in association with Ro60 and La proteins. The Y RNAs and Ro60 and La proteins are well conserved, but the function of the Ro RNP is not known. Lineage: Eukaryota; Metazoa; Chordata; Mammalia; Primates; Cebidae. The record is from Ensembl.